AUGUUGGCAGAGACCAUGUUUCUCUCCAGCUGCUCCAGUGGAAAUCAUCACAUUACAAUUUUCCAGUGUAGACUAUGGAGAGAGAGAGACAGAGAUAAGAAAGAGAGGGUUAAGCUGCAUCUGGUUCUUACAGGGCAACAAAAAGAACAGUUUAUCCAUGAGUUAAAAGAAGCAUGCAAGCACACUGUAGUUAAAAAUAUUAAAAGACCAAGAAAAGAUAUAUUGAUGCUCACGGAACUAUGGCGGAAGCUCACUGGGGCAUGCCUUCAGCACAGGGUAAAGGGAAGACUAGGCAUUGGACAGAUUUUUAAGGAAGAAGACAGCAUUUCUGCCGAGCCUCCAUGA
RNAcentral lists this long non-coding RNA (345 nucleotides) under Callithrix jacchus (white-tufted-ear marmoset). RNAcentral's name for it is "lncRNA (ENSCJAG00000077552.1)". Lineage: Eukaryota; Metazoa; Chordata; Mammalia; Primates; Cebidae. The record is from RNAcentral.